RNAcentral lists this transfer RNA (115 nucleotides) under Didymella glomerata. Its description in RNAcentral is "Peyronellaea glomerata tRNA". It matches the Rfam family "tRNA". Rfam says of the family: Transfer RNA (tRNA) molecules are approximately 80 nucleotides in length. Their secondary structure includes four short double-helical elements and three loops (D, anti-codon, and T loops). Lineage: Eukaryota; Fungi; Ascomycota; Dothideomycetes; Pleosporales; Didymellaceae. The record is from Rfam by way of RNAcentral.
GUCACUGUGGCCGAGCGGUUAAGGCGCUAGACUCAAGAGGGUUAAAGCUCUUGCCUUCUGUGAAGGUAGCAUUCUAGUAGAGAGAUCUGCGUGGGUUCGAGUCCCACCGGUGACA